Molecule: ribosomal RNA, 485 nt
Filed under: uncultured bacterium
Lineage: Bacteria
Description: partial 16S ribosomal RNA
Rfam family: Bacterial small subunit ribosomal RNA
Source: RNAcentral
GAUGAACGCUGGCGGCGUGCUUAACACAUGCAAGUCGAACGAUGAACCGGGUGCUUGCACUCGGGGAUUAGUGGCGAACGGGUGAGUAACACGUGAGCAACCUGCCCCUGACUCUGGGAUAAGCGCUGGAAACGGCGUCUAAUACUGGAUAUGUCCCGUCACCGCAUGGUGUGCGGGUGGAAAGAUUUUCCGGUUGGGGAUGGGCUCGCGGCCUAUCAGCUUGUUGGUGAGGUAAUGGCUCACCAAGGCGUCGACGGGUAGCCGGCCUGAGAGGGUGACCGGGCACACUGGGACUGGGAAACGGCCUAGACUCCUACGGGGUGCAGCAGUUGGGAAUAUGGCACAAUGGGCGCAGGGCUAAUGCAGCGACGCGGGGUGAGGGAUGACGGCCUUCGGGUUGUAAACCUCCUUCAGCAUCGACGAAGCGAAAGUGACGGUAGGUGCAGAAGAAGGACCGGCCAACUACGUGCCAGCAGCCGCCGUAA